UCAAUUGGUAAGGUNCUUGCCUAGCAUGC
This 29-nucleotide non-coding RNA is filed under the name Rattus norvegicus (Norway rat). The record is from RNAcentral. Lineage: Eukaryota; Metazoa; Chordata; Mammalia; Rodentia; Muridae.